RNAcentral lists this ribosomal RNA (1097 nucleotides) under Pseudoalteromonas sp. RNAcentral describes it as "bacterial SSU rRNA". It matches the Rfam family "Bacterial small subunit ribosomal RNA", at positions 378 to 1484 of the family's 1533-position model. The record is from RNAcentral. Lineage: Bacteria; Pseudomonadati; Pseudomonadota; Gammaproteobacteria; Alteromonadales; Pseudoalteromonadaceae.
GCAGCCUGAUGCAGCCAUGCCGCGUGUGUGAAGAAGGCCUUCGGGUUGUAAAGCACUUUCAGUCAGGAGGAAAGGUUAACGGUUAAUACCCGUUAGCUGUGACGUUACUGACAGAAGAAGCACCGGCUAACUCCGUGCCAGCAGCCGCGGUAAUACGGAGGGUGCGAGCGUUAAUCGGAAUUACUGGGCGUAAAGCGUACGCAGGCGGUUUGUUAAGCGAGAUGUGAAAGCCCCGGGCUCAACCUGGGAACUGCAUUUCGAACUGGCAAACUAGAGUGUGAUAGAGGGUGGUAGAAUUUCAGGUGUAGCGGUGAAAUGCGUAGAGAUCUGAAGGAAUACCGAUGGCGAAGGCAGCCACCUGGGUCAACACUGACGCUCAUGUACGAAAGCGUGGGGAGCAAACGGGAUUAGAUACCCCGGUAGUCCACGCCGUAAACGAUGUCUACUAGAAGCUCGGAGCCUCGGUUCUGUUUUUCAAAGCUAACGCAUUAAGUAGACCGCCUGGGGAGUACGGCCGCAAGGUUAAAACUCAAAUGAAUUGACGGGGGCCCGCACAAGCGGUGGAGCAUGUGGUUUAAUUCGAUGCAACGCGAAGAACCUUACCUACACUUGACAUACAGAGAACUUACCAGAGAUGGUUUGGUGCCUUCGGGAACUCUGAUACAGGUGCUGCAUGGCUGUCGUCAGCUCGUGUUGUGAGAUGUUGGGUUAAGUCCCGCAACGAGCGCAACCCCUAUCCUUAGUUGCUAGCAGGUAAUGCUGAGAACUCUAAGGAGACUGCCGGUGAUAAACCGGAGGAAGGUGGGGACGACGUCAAGUCAUCAUGGCCCUUACGUGUAGGGCUACACACGUGCUACAAUGGCGCAUACAGAGUGCUGCGAACCUGCGAAGGUAAGCGAAUCACUUAAGUGCGUCGUAAUCCGGAUUGGAGUCUGCAACUCGACUCCAUGAAGUCGGAAUCGCUAGUAUCCGUAUCAAUGACGCGGUGAAUACGUUCCGGGCCUUGUACACACGCCCGUCACACCAUGGGAGUGGUUGCUCCAAAAUAAUAGCCUAACCCUCGGGAGACGUUUACCGAGUGAUUCUGACUGGGUGAU